UUACGGCCAAAUCACGUUGAAACACUGCUUCUCGUGCGAUCACUGAAAUUAAGCAACGGCAAACCUGGUCAGUACUUAGAUGGGUGACCGCUUUGGAAUAUUG
Molecule: non-coding RNA, 103 nt
Organism: Acanthosepion pharaonis
Lineage: Eukaryota; Metazoa; Mollusca; Cephalopoda; Sepiida; Sepiidae
Source: the annotation of a GenBank genome assembly